UGAAUUGCUUCCAUCACUUUGUCUCUUUUCUCUUGAAACGACUUCUCAUAUUUCUCUAAUUUUCGUAAUAGCAAUUCUUCCUGUCUUCUUAAUCCUCUUUUGACAACUUCCAUAAUCUUAUCAAGUAAUUGCUAUUUCCAAGGAUGGUCUUCCAUGGUCAUCUUGUUGAAGGCUAGGUAGGAUGUAGGAAAAUUUUGUUUCUUAAAGAAGAGAAAAUUUUUAUUGGGAUAGGGGAAGAAAAGGAAGAAAAGUUGAGGCUGAAAUAAGGAUUUCAAUAAUUUCAAGAAAGAAUGGAGGAAAGAAACCCUAACAGGGUAGAAAUUGGAGAUAGAGAGGUUGAGAAGAAUUUGAUAUUGGGAAAAGGAAUAAGGCAGCUUGGAAGAGAGAAAAAUGAGGGAGAGGAAGAAAGAAAGAAAAAAUUUCAAGAAUUUCAAGAAAUAGGUUCUUGAAAUGCACAAAGUGAAAAAUUAAGAAGAAAAAAAAUUAAAGAAAGAACCAAAAAUUAACAGAAGAAUAAAGAAAUUUGAUUCAAGAAUUUCAAG
Molecule: unclassified non-coding RNA, 542 nt
Filed under: Hevea brasiliensis (rubber tree)
Lineage: Eukaryota; Viridiplantae; Streptophyta; Magnoliopsida; Malpighiales; Euphorbiaceae
Source: RNAcentral